RNAcentral lists this ribosomal RNA (468 nucleotides) under uncultured bacterium. Its description in RNAcentral is "partial 16S ribosomal RNA". It matches the Rfam family "Bacterial small subunit ribosomal RNA", at positions 28 to 507 of the family's 1533-position model. The record is from RNAcentral.
GACGAACGCUGGCGGCGUGCUUAACACAUGCAAGUCGAACGGUUAGGCUCUGGUGUUGUGGGGGGCUCGAGUGGUGAACGGGUGAGAACUGCGCGUGUAUUCUGCCUUAGAGUUUGGAAUAGCUUCUGGUAACUGGGGAUAACACCGGAUCGGAGCUCUUGCUGCUGGGUGGGGGCUGGCGAGUUUUGGGGGUUUGGGUUGGGCUCGCGGCUUCUCAGCUUGCUGUUGGGGUAGUGGCUUACCAAGUCAUCGACCGGUCGCCGGCCUGGGAGGGUGCCCGGCCACGUUGGGACUGGGAUACGGCCCAGACUCCUACGGGAGGCAGCAGUGGGGAAUAUUGCACAAGGGGCGGAGGCCUAAUGCAGCAACGCCACGUGCGGGAUGACAGCCUGCGGGUUGUAAACCGCUUUCGCCUGUGACGAGGCGUGAGUGACGGUAAUGGGAAAAGAAGCACCGGCUAACUACGUG